RNAcentral lists this ribosomal RNA (354 nucleotides) under Triticum aestivum (bread wheat). RNAcentral's name for it is "partial small subunit ribosomal RNA". Lineage: Eukaryota; Viridiplantae; Streptophyta; Magnoliopsida; Poales; Poaceae. The record is from RNAcentral.
AUGAUGGGGUGGUAUCCUCCUUUGAAUGAUUUAAGUGACUUGACUUGGCACAUGUUCACGCAUGUAGUUGAAACAAAUCAACAUAGCCUUCAUGAUAUUUAUGUUCAUGGUGAAUUAUAUCCUACUCAUGCUUGCAUCCAAUGUUUAUUAAUUUUAAUGCAUGUACAUGGCUGUUGUCGCUCUCUAGUUGGUCGCUUCCCAGUCUUUUGCUUGCCUUCACCUGUACUAAGCGGGAAUACUGCUUGUGCAUCCAAUCCCUUAAACCAAAAAGUUAUUCCAGAUGAGUCCACUAUACCUUCCUAUAUGCGGUAUCUACCUGCCGUUCCAAGUAAAUUUGUAUGUGCCAAACUCUAA